AUGGCCGGAAGCUCGGAUUAUCAGCCUUUUAACCUGGCAGCAAGAGUCGUAGGAAAGAGGCGACGACUCAUACCUGCCAAGUUGAAGUCGGCGAUACCCGCCAUUGCUCUGCUUCUGUCGGCGGUGGCCAUUGUUGGUGCCAUAACCCAGUACCACCGGAGCAUCACCUACUUCCUGCGGCCGCUGUGGGACACGCCGCCCAAGCCCUUCACCGUCAUCCCGCACUACUACGCCCCCAACACCUCCAUGGCCGAGCUGUGCGCGCUCCACGGCUGGCGCGCCCGCGCCUCCCCUCGCCGCGUCUUCGACGCCGUCCUCUUCAACAACGAGCUGGACAUCCUGGAGAUCCGGUACCGCGAGCUGCUCCCCUACGUCCACAAGCUGGUCAUCCUGGAGGCCAACGCCACCUUCACCGGCAUCCCCAAGCCGCUCUCCUUCGCCGAGAACCUGGAGCGCUUCGCGUUCGCGAGGUCCAAGAUCGUCUACGACAGGCUCCCCAUCGCCACACCGGGGUCAUCGCCAGGUCGCCGCCGGGAAGAGCCGUUCGACCUGGAAGCCAGGCACCGGCGCGCGCUGAACGCGCUGCUGCGGCGGUCGGGCGUCGCGGGCGGGGACGUGGUGAUCAUGGCGGACGCGGACGAGAUCCCGAGCCCGGAGACGGUGCAGCUGCUGCGGUGGUGCGACGGGGUGCCGCCGGUGAUGCACCUGCAGCUGGAGAACUACGUCUACUCCUUCGAGUUCCCCGUGGACCGCGGCAGCUGGAGGGCGACGGCGCACCUCUUCAGCGAGCGGCGCACGGCGUACCAGCACUCCCGGCAGAGCGACCUGAUGCUAGCGGACGCCGGGUGGCACUGCAGCUUCUGCUUCAGGGAGAUCGCCGAGUUUGCGUUCAAGAUGAAGGCGUACAGCCACGCGGACCGGGUGAGGCGGCAGAGCUUCCUCGACCCGGAGAGGAUCCAGCGGGUCGUAUGUGCCGCCGACGACCUGUUCGACAUGCUCCCCGAGGAGUACACCUUCAGGGAUCUCUUCACGAAGAUGGGGCCAAUACCCAGGUCGGCGUCGGCCAUGCACCUGCCUUCCUAUUUGAUCAAGAACGCACACAGAUUCAGGUUCUUGCUUCCUGGUGGAUGCUUGAGAUCAGGUUAA
Molecule: ribosomal RNA, 1146 nt
Filed under: Triticum aestivum (bread wheat)
Lineage: Eukaryota; Viridiplantae; Streptophyta; Magnoliopsida; Poales; Poaceae
Description: partial small subunit ribosomal RNA
Source: RNAcentral